CAGUAGCCACGGUAAUCCGUAGGUCCCGAGCGUUGUCCGGAUUUAUUGGGCGUAAAGGGAGCGCAGGCGGUUUAGUAAGUCUGAAGUUAAAGGCAUUGGCUCAACCAAUGUAUGCUUUGGAAACUGUUAGACUUGAGUGCAGAAGGGGAGAGUGGAAUUCCAUGUGUAGCGGUGAAAUGCGUAGAUAUAUGGAGGAACACCGGUGGCGAAAGCGGCUCUCUGGUCUGUCACUGACGCUGGGGCUCGAAAGCGUGGGUAGCGAACAGGAUUAGAUACCCCGGUAGUCCCUGUCUCUUAUACC
This 301-nucleotide ribosomal RNA is filed under the name uncultured bacterium. RNAcentral's name for it is "partial 16S ribosomal RNA". It matches the Rfam family "Bacterial small subunit ribosomal RNA", at positions 509 to 808 of the family's 1533-position model. The record is from RNAcentral.